ACGGAAGGCAGCAGUGAGGAAUAUUGGUCAAUGGGCGGAAGCCUGAACCAGCCAAGUCGCGUGAAGGAUGAAGGUAUUAUGUAUUGUAAACUCCUUUAGCAGCAGAGUAAUAAGGUCCUCGUGAGGACUGAUGCAAGUAUGCUGAAAAUAAGGAUCGGCUAACUCCGUGCCAGCAGCCGCGGUAAUACGGAGGAUCCGAGCGUUAUCCGGAUUUAUUGGGUUUAAAGGGUGCGCAGGCGGCUUUUUAAGUCAGCGGUAAAAUCGUGGGGCUCAACCCCAUCCUGCCGUUGAUACUGGAGAGCUUGAUUGCGGUUGAGGUUGGCGGAAUUCGUCGUGUAGCGGUGAAAUGCAUAGAUAUGACGAGGAACACCGAUUGCGUAGGCAGCUGACCAAGCCGUAAAUGACGCUCAUGCACGAAAGUGCGGGGAUCGAACAGGAUUAGAUACCCUGGUA
RNAcentral lists this ribosomal RNA (453 nucleotides) under uncultured Porphyromonadaceae bacterium. Its description in RNAcentral is "partial 16S ribosomal RNA". It matches the Rfam family "Bacterial small subunit ribosomal RNA", at positions 341 to 792 of the family's 1533-position model. The record is from RNAcentral. Lineage: Bacteria; Pseudomonadati; Bacteroidota; Bacteroidia; Bacteroidales; Porphyromonadaceae.